GACGCCGAUGUUCAUUAGAAAAGAAUCCCUAGGAAGGGCGAGGAGAUAGAAGAUACCUGGGAUCCAGAGAGGCUGCUUCUGGCAAAGCUGCUGUACCAGGAGAGCCAGUGGAGUGCAGUGGUUAGGAGCCCAGGCUCUGACGUCUGAUCGACUCAGGUUCAAGUCUCUGCUCUGACACUAACUCAGCCCUGCAUCUCAGGGAGAUAGACAGCCACAAACAACCUAACAAGAUUGCU
Molecule: long non-coding RNA, 236 nt
Organism: Tupaia belangeri chinensis (Chinese tree shrew)
Lineage: Eukaryota; Metazoa; Chordata; Mammalia; Scandentia; Tupaiidae
Exons: 3
Source: RefSeq, a predicted model, not a curated record